CUCCUCCAUGUACUACUCAACUCCCCGCCUCGCUACACUAUCUCUGGAAUUCCUACUCUCCUCACUGCCAUUGUCUCCACACACAACACCUUACAUCAUCCGCCUCCGUGUAGCGUGGCCAUCCUCUCGUCACCGUCAUCCACCACUUUGUGGCCUCCCCGCUCAACCCAGCUCCUCGCCGCAUUGUCUCUAUCCCUGGCCCCAGUCA
This 208-nucleotide long non-coding RNA is filed under the name Sorghum bicolor (sorghum). RNAcentral describes it as "long non-coding RNA (SBIC_LNC007218)". Lineage: Eukaryota; Viridiplantae; Streptophyta; Magnoliopsida; Poales; Poaceae. The record is from RNAcentral.